CUCCAUGCACCUGGAAAUCAUUGGAUCAGAAAUAAUGAACUGUGUGAAGUUCUCGGUGGGGAGGCGUGCUCACAUGUAUUAGUCCAUUAUGGUCAACACCAGAUAAAAACACACGGGGGACGACUGUUUUCAACCGACUUUAUUCUAAUUGUGCGAGAAAUUGCGUGCUGUGCGUCUGAUCAUAGAAGCAGAAGGCAGAACGAACUUGCUUGGCAGGUGAAUGCUAUAUUGUGCUUAAACGGCUUACACUAAAGCGUGCACUAACUAAAAGACCUUCGCUGCAUUCAACCAAAGGUGACAUGUUGACACACAGCCAAUGCGGGGGACAGGUCAUUCGCUAAUGGGGAGAUAAUGACAAGGAAAUCAUUUUCAUGUCGCUAAGCUACGCUAACUUAUUGUCCUCCAUAAAUAUGCAAGUGCACCCAGAUUUCGUAUCCAAAGUCAGGAAGCAGCAGCCCUACGAAUCAAUUAGCACGCAACCCAAGAAGCCUCACAAUCCAUUCCCAGUCUCUUUGUAAUCAGAUGAACCAAAGUCAAGGUCCCCUCACAGUUCUCUGAAUUGGUUAAGAUACCCAGUGGUAUGUAGUUGAAAUGUGGUGCUUUAAGGCGAAGAUCUUCAUAAUAUUCCAGAAUUUGAUAAAACUGUUGGUGAAACACCUAAACACAUUUAAAGGUCCAGAAGAAACAGAAACUUUGAUUUAGAGUCUAGUUGUGAGGACUCACUAGGUACAAGUAUAGUAAAAAUGUCUAAAUAUUAGGUACCUCAUUUGUUUGGUAGAAAAAAAUCCUAAAUACUAUUAAAGGAAAAUUGGUGUGAACAGGUAGGUGGUAACACCUGCUAGGCUCUAGGCCUGCCGCACCUCCACUGGUGCCCAUUGGGCUAGCUGCGGGGUCAUUAGCCAGGGACACACAUACUAGUACACGCAUAAAGUGCACACCACCUAAUGGCCAUGAUAUAAAGUUGCCUUAAUUAGUAGAUAGAUAUCUGUUUGGUAUAAAUUCAAAAUCCUGGGUAUUUAGUUUGAGCACAAAGGUAGUCUUGCCUAACUAAUGACAAACUGGAUCCUCAGUUUAGUUCUCAUUUGUAUUACGAUGAGACGGUAUGGAGAGCUAGCUAGUAAUCUGACAGGAUCUCAGUUUUAGUCAUGUGAAAUGCCCUAGCCUUACCCUCAAGCCAAUUGUGGAUCAAAGUAUUCAGGACCACGAUGAAGUUUUAGCCAGGUGCAAGCUUUUAGGCUUUUAGGCUUUGCUCUUACUGCCUGGUGGGCUUCUGUAACUUGGCUGGCUAUAGGCUAUGCUCAACCAUUAAGUGAGGUCAGUGACGACUUUCAUUCAGUUUUAGUUGGUGGUGGAGACCGCUGGGUUGUCAAUAGCUUGGUUUUUCGUAUAAACAAACAGUGUUUCCCCGUCUAAGAAACCCACCACGGAUACAGUUGUUGUCUUAAACUCACUGAUCAUGUGCCGCUGUAAUUAGUUCAGCCUGGUGCAAUCUGGAACGGUAAUGUCUAAAAUCACUGCAGCACACUUGUCUGCAGCACACUUGAGUUCUCACAAGAACAGCGGCAAGUGUCAAAUCUCAUUCUCAGUAUUUCAUUACUGGAUUGGCAGAUCUGAAAUCACAUAAUGCCUCAGUUUUCUUCCCUACUGAUGAAAGCAGAAAUACAAUUUCUUGAAAUGUCAUAACUCUUCAGGAAUGGCAGAUCAGCUGCCUUGAGCCAUGUACUCAUUCACAUAUGGGAUUGCUGAUUGAUAUGGAGAGGACACAUGAGUAUGAGGUUUACAGUGCUAAGCUGAUGAGUUCUCACGGUAGAUUUAAAGACAAUAUAAAAGCAUUAUGGAAAAGGUAUUGGGCAGAUCACAAAACAAUAUUUGCAAUACAACUUUACAAUAGUAAAAAGCUUUCGAUCUGCUCUAAUGCCUUACCAAUGACUGUAAACCAAACUGAACCAAUGAUUUCAUCAAAUAUGGUUUGGUUCUGGGUGGACCCGAAUGAUAUUCUGUUCACUCUGCAUACUGGCUCACACUUGAGCCCAUGGCACCUUUUCAUUUUGAUGUAUUUUGUCUUAAUUUCUGUGUGGCGAAAUGCUGCCCAUGCUUUUUUGCAGUCGUUUUGCCUCACACAUGUUUGUGAUGCAUCACCUGCUGCAUGCAUAGUUUGACAUGCUAAUAUAUUUACAUGUUGAAAUAAUAACAAAGGAGACAUUCAGUGUAUUAGCUGGUUGAUGUAUGAGGCGGGUGUGUUCACUUGCACCCAUUUUUCAUGUACCUCGUUGAAUAUGCGCCACCAUAGGUCAUUUCAGUCAUGAUGGGGGAGCCUGGUAAAAAAAAAUCCCCAUCGGCUGAUUAGAAUUGCCUGUAUGUGUUGCCACUGGAGGCGACUAGCAUCCGGGGCUAACCAGCCAGAAAUGAUCAUGAUAUCCGCUGCAUACGUGUGGAACGCUAACAUAUAAAUCAGGAACACGAGAACACAGAACACAAGAUGCACACAGAAUCCAGGGUGACUAACAUUUACCUCCAGCUUAUACACAACCCUCUGUGGACUAAAAAUAUUGACAAAGCCAAGGAUGUAGUAGAUCUUUUUCUCUUUUCUUCCUGUCUAUUUUACCACAGUGGUCCCUAUCCUCUGUGGGCGAGCAUUGGCAGGCCUAAUUGGAUGGUCUAUGAAUGGGGAUGGCUCGUGCCUUGCAGGCACACUCCGACAGCCUUGAAUAAGGAUCAGUCUACUGAAGGUGUUGAAUAUAAAUGCAGUGCUUAUUCUCCACCAGCAUCGUGCAAGCUAGAUGCGUCACAGACAGGAAUGUCUGCAAGGCAUCAGACACGCGACACACAUUCCCCACCCCACUCUGGACAAGAGGGUUUGGAUCGCCCACGCACACCAUCUCAUGAGGUCCCUGGUGAGAGACAGAGGAAGAGACAGCAAGCCCCACACUAUAAAGAGACAGCACUGCACAUCUUAAGGAAAACCUCAGGAUCUUUCAACCUCAGCCCUAUUCAUACCACUCUUUGGGUCAAAAUCUUUACUAGGGACAAUUAACAAUAAAAAUCGGUCUGGUAUUGAAUUAGAACGCUAUAUAAUGGAAGCCUAUGAGGCAAGCCAACACGUCAAAGUACACCACUUGUUUUUCACCAUUGAUGGGAUGGUACAUGGUAAUAUAAGGGUGUGACAACAUGAAAAAUAUCCCUACAGAGAUACACUUGCGUCUGUUUACCUCAGUAACUGUAAAGAAACUGUAGAAAAUGACUGUUUGUACAGUCAGUGUUUAACCUCUGUCUUCUUCUGGUCUCUGACGUAGCACCCUAUUUGCUCAAUUAUCGAUUAUCAUCCCAGCACCACGUGGGGGGCCAAGGCCAAGGAGCACAAAUCAAAGCAAGCAAACAAAAAAAAAACAUAAGAAAUAAGAGUAAAACAGUGGCUGGAAUGUUCCCUUUUGAAAGAGAAACAAAGCACGUUGGUUGUCAGCUACAUGUAACAGCAUAGCACAUAUCCAAGAAUAAAGAGAAUGUGAUCACCAAAUGUAGGCCUACUUUGCAGGCAUGUUCAGUACUCCCACAGUGCAGUAAGACUAGAGGGGGAAAGAUUCCAAUGCUACACAAACAAAAGAACACUGUAAACCACUGUUAACCUUAACAACAAAUGACUAAAAUAUGCAUACAUAUUGUGUCAUUUACCAGUGUCUCCGUGUCUACACCCACAGCAGCACAUUGGUGGUCGUAUCAAUGUUAACUGAAACAGAAAACUAUGUUUUUUUUACAUGGUUUGAUAUAAACAAGGCCGCUCUGUUGAAAGAGUAAAAACACAUGCCUCUAGCAAUCCCGCUGGUGAGAUUAACAAAGGAAAGGAAAAAGAACCCGUGCCCAUUCAACACGUUCCGUUUUCAGUUCCUUCACAUGCAUAAGAGGGGAGUCUACUACACCGCCGCCCUUGCAGCAGCAGAAGGAUCUAACGUACACAGACACCACACUUUUAUCACUUCCUGAUUCACCUAUUGGUCACUUGACCUUACAACAUUCUUCAAAUCAUGUGACUACCUGUGUCACCAUUCACCUAGAUCCCCACACUACCCUACUGGUAGUUAUCAGCAUAUAAAAUAGACUGACGCAUCUGGCAGCACGCCUCUAUGGAGCAAGGAGGAGUACUGAUGGGGAGGCAGCACGCCUCUAUGGAGCAAGGAGGAGUACUGAUCGGGAAGCAAAAACAGCUCAUGGCUAAUGAGGAUAAUCUGCAUCUCCUCCUCCAUUUAAAUUAAAUGUUCUCACAGCAGCAUGGGUAUUUAAAAGCGUUUUCGUACCAAUGUUGCCACAUAAUCUUUUUUUGUAUUUCAAAGUGACUAGGCUAUCUAUCUAUCCACUAAAUGUUCUCACAGCAACAUAGGUAUUUUAAAGCAUUUUUCAUAAAAAGAACAGAACACAUGUCCAUCCCUGACCAAAGAUGGACAGUUCACUUGACUUGGUCCCCGAGCGCUUACAAGCUGCCCACUGCUCCUGGGGGGUCCUGGAGGAGGGACAGUCCAGGAUGGGAAAAGGCAGAAGAUAAAUUCACCGCGACCUCAGGCCUGCGUGUGCGUGUGUCCUGUGUCACCUCCAUAUAUUCACGUGUGUGUUCCAGUGUGUCGUGUGUGCCAAUAAAACCUGACAAUUAUUAAUUAUUAUUAAUUAUACCAAUGUUGCCACUUCUUUGUAUUUCAAAGUGACUAGACUAUCUAUCUAUCCGUUAUCCACUUAAGCAUUAAAACCUGUUCUAUUAUACUAUAUAGCUUUAUAUGUUGUUCAACUACUAUUGCUUAGUAAUGUAUCACCAAUUUCCUAGUCAGUAUGGGAUCAACAGGGACUUGUUUAUGAAGUAUGCACCAAUCCAGAAACACAGUGUCAUGUCUUCCUAACACCCCCCCUCUCUCAGACCAGACGGAGAAAGCCUUAAAAAGAAGAAAGCUACUGUUUGAUGUACCUGAGAUUUCUGCGCCUCUCCUGAUAUCUACAUCACCCAGACACCCAACAAAGAGAUAGCAGCUCUCUCCCACUUUGAUCCAGCAGGAUUCUGACACUUUCCCUUCAUCAUGCUGGGGAAUAGGGCCUUUAUCUCCGGCGUCCGGUAUCGCUCUGUGGUCCCAUUGGGUGUAGCCUGUGGUUGGCAAUUAUGGUUAAACUGACAGUUUUUUUUCCCUUCACAUUCCGUUGCACUUCAGACAUAUUUAACAUAAGUGCUUCCUGAAAAGAAGUUAUUCCGUUUUAAUCAUGACAAAUUGGACAAUAUUUUCCUUAUCUGCAGGAUGUAUAAACAAAAUAAAAAAAAUAGUGUUCGGUAGACUGGAAGCAACGCACACAGACCCACUUUUCAAAUGUCUUGGUAGGCUCUUGAGCCUGCUCAGGUGGAGCACUUACCUUAGCUUAUUUCAGCUGUCACUCUUUCCAGCGAUCACUUUGGACUGCUUCAGCUCAAGUGGAUAGAAGUGCUUUGGAUAACACUGGCUUGCUUCCAUCAGUGACUUGACAGAACAUCCACUGACAUUUUCUGACAGUUAGAUCUACAGUUUAAAAAGGGCAAACAUUGGUUUCCGCCCGACUCUCCCAUUCACCCCGAGGACUCAAGAACCCCAGGAGUGGUUCAGACUAACUUCCGCAAGAUUCUUUUUUUAUUAUUAUUUUCCAAAAUGAAAAAAAAUCUCUGUAGAACACCUUCUCAAUUCACCUGUAACUCCAACAUAAGUGGAA
Long non-coding RNA from Clupea harengus (Atlantic herring), 5709 nucleotides. Lineage: Eukaryota; Metazoa; Chordata; Actinopteri; Clupeiformes; Clupeidae. The record is from Ensembl.